GACGAACGCUGGCGGCGUGCCUAAUACAUGCAAGUCGAACGAGAGCGACCGGUGCUUGCACUGGUCAAUCUAGUGGCGAACGGGUGAGUAACACGUGGGUAACCUGCCCAUCAGAGGGGGAUAACAUCCGGAAACGGAUGCUAAAACCGCAUAGGUCUUCGAGCCGCAUGGCUUGAAGAGGAAAAGAGGCGCAAGCUUCUGCUGAUGGAUGGACCCGCGGUGCAUUAGCUAGUUGGUGAGGUAACGGCUCACCAAGGCCGUGAUGCAUAGCCGACCUGAGAGGGUGAUCGGCCACAUUGGGACUGAGACACGGCCCAAACUCCUACGGGGGGCAGCAGUAGGGAAUCUUCCGCAAUGGACGCAAGUCUGACGGAGCAACGCCGCGUGAGUGAAGAAGGUUUUCGGAUCGUAAAACUCUGUUGUUAGAGAAGAACAAGUGCUAGAGUAACUGUUAGCGCCUUGACGGUAUCUAACCAGAAAGCCACGGCUAACUACGUG
This 498-nucleotide ribosomal RNA is filed under the name uncultured bacterium. RNAcentral describes it as "partial 16S ribosomal RNA". It matches the Rfam family "Bacterial small subunit ribosomal RNA", at positions 28 to 507 of the family's 1533-position model. The record is from RNAcentral.